RNAcentral lists this ribosomal RNA (255 nucleotides) under uncultured bacterium. RNAcentral describes it as "partial 16S ribosomal RNA". It matches the Rfam family "Bacterial small subunit ribosomal RNA", at positions 524 to 777 of the family's 1533-position model. The record is from RNAcentral.
UACGUAGGGUGCAAGCGUUGUCCGGAAUUAUUGGGCGUAAAGAGCUCGUAGGCGGUCUGUCACGUCGGCUGUGAAAACCCGAGGCUCAACCUCGGGCCUGCAGUCGAUACGGGCAAACUAGAGUACUGCAGGGGAGACUGGAAUUCCUGGUGUAGCGGUGAAAUGCGCAGAUAUCAGGAGGAACACCGGUGGCGAAGGCGGGUCUCUGGGCAGUAACUGACGCUGGAGGAGCGAAAGCAUGGGGAGCGAACAGGA